RNAcentral lists this ribosomal RNA (1436 nucleotides) under uncultured bacterium. Its description in RNAcentral is "16S ribosomal RNA". It matches the Rfam family "Bacterial small subunit ribosomal RNA". The record is from RNAcentral. RNAcentral also lists the same sequence under 1 other name.
CAGGCUUAACACAUGCAAGUUGAGGGGCAGCACAGGUAGCAAUACCGGGUGGCGACCGGCGCACGGGUGAGUAACGCGUAUGCAACUUGCCUAUCAGAGGGGGAUAACCCGGCGAAAGUCGGACUAAUACCGCAUGAAGCAGGGGCCCCGCAUGGGGAUAUUUGCUAAAGAUUCAUCGCUGAUAGAUAGGCAUGCGUUCCAUUAGGCAGUUGGCGGGGUAACGGCCCACCAAACCGACGAUGGAUAGGGGUUCUGAGAGGAAGGUCCCCCACAUUGGUACUGAGACACGGACCAAACUCCUACGGGAGGCAGCAGUGAGGAAUAUUGGUCAAUGGCCGAGAGGCUGAACCAGCCAAGUCGCGUGAGGGAUGAAGGUUCUAUGGAUCGUAAACCUCUUUUAUAAGGGAAUAAAGUGCGGGACGUGUCCCGUUUUGUAUGUACCUUAUGAAUAAGGAUCGGCUAACUCCGUGCCAGCAGCCGCGGUAAUACGGAGGAUCCGAGCGUUAUCCGGAUUUAUUGGGUUUAAAGGGUGCGUAGGCGGCCUUUUAAGUCAGCGGUGAAAGUCUGUGGCUCAACCAUAGAAUUGCCGUUGAAACUGGGGGGCUUGAGUAUGUUUGAGGCAGGCGGAAUGCGUGGUGUAGCGGUGAAAUGCAUAGAUAUCACGCAGAACCCCGAUUGCGAAGGCAGCCUGCCAAGCCAUGACUGACGCUGAUGCACGAAAGCGUGGGGAUCAAACAGGAUUAGAUACCCUGGUAGUCCACGCAGUAAACGAUGAUCACUAGCUGUUUGCGAUACACUGUAAGCGGCACAGCGAAAGCGUUAAGUGAUCCACCUGGGGAGUACGCCGGCAACGGUGAAACUCAAAGGAAUUGACGGGGGCCCGCACAAGCGGAGGAACAUGUGGUUUAAUUCGAUGAUACGCGAGGAACCUUACCCGGGUUUGAACGCAUUCGGACCGAGGUGGAAACACCUUUUCUAGCAAUAGCCGUUUGCGAGGUGCUGCAUGGUUGUCGUCAGCUCGUGCCGUGAGGUGUCGGCUUAAGUGCCAUAACGAGCGCAACCCUUGCCACUAGUUACUAACAGGUGAUGCUGAGGACUCUGGUGGGACUGCCAGCGUAAGCUGCGAGGAAGGCGGGGAUGACGUCAAAUCAGCACGGCCCUUACAUCCGGGGCGACACACGUGUUACAAUGGCGUGGACAAAGGGAGGCCACCUGGCGACAGGGAGCGAAUCCCCAAACCACGUCUCAGUUCGGAUCGGAGUCUGCAACCCGACUCCGUGAAGCUGGAUUCGCUAGUAAUCGCGCAUCAGCCAUGGCGCGGUGAAUACGUUCCCGGGCCUUGUACACACCGCCCGUCAAGCCAUGGGAGCCGGGGGUACCUGAAGUCCGUAACCGCGAGGAUCGGCCUAGGGUAAAACUGGUGACUGGGGCUAAGU